CUCAGUAGCUCGAGGAAAAGAAAUCAACCGAGAUUCCCCCAGUAGCGGCGAGCGAACGGGGAGGAGCCCAGAACCUGAAUCGGCUUGUGUGUUAGUGGAAGCGUCUGGAAAGUCGCGCAGCAAAGGGUGAUAGCCCCGUACACUAAAAUGCACAGGUCGUGAGUUCGAUGAGUAGGGCGGGACACGUGACAUCCUGUCUGAAUAUGGGGGGACCAUCCUCCAAGGCUAAAUGCUCCUGACUGACC
This 245-nucleotide ribosomal RNA is filed under the name Chaetoceros curvisetus. RNAcentral's name for it is "partial Bacterial large subunit ribosomal RNA". It matches the Rfam family "Bacterial large subunit ribosomal RNA", at positions 202 to 485 of the family's 2925-position model. Lineage: Eukaryota; Bacillariophyta; Thalassiosirophyceae; Chaetocerotales; Chaetocerotaceae. The record is from RNAcentral.